UAUGUUCUAAAAAGCCUAGUUCUAGAGCUUCCCUGGGAUCAUUCUGUGGUGGGCCUUGGGGUAUGGGCUGCUGGCCCCUUGUUCAGUGAUCUGGCUUCUAAACUUGGUUCUCUCCCCAUAUCUUACCAAGAGAGGAAAGGAUGUACCUAAUUGCUUCUUUCAGGCAUAGGUUGAGAUAAUCCCCAUUCCCUGGUGCUCCUUCAGCCUACUGGUGAGUGGAGAGCAGGCUAAGAAAGGUAUACACUUAAUCCUUACCCAUGUGGGAAAAAGGGACGGAGGGAGGAAGAAAACUUGAACCUGAGCUGAGAAGGGAUGGCCAAUGCUGGCAGAGGUAAAAUGUCCCCAUGGACACCUUCUUCUCCGAGAGGAUUGCCUGUGCUAAAUACAAAGAGUUCAGGGCACGGGUCAUGGGGAUGGUAAAGGGACCAGUGGGCUGACAGUCUGCAUCCAUGUGGGCACUGUCCAUCUAUCUGUAAGCUUUGACCCCCCCUCUCCAAGCCACAGUCUCUGUCCUUUGCCCUCUUAGUUCCCUCCUCCUAACUGGGCUGCCUCUUGCUCUCUUUCUCCCUGAGGCUAUGACAAUGGCAGGGUACCCAGCCAUGGCAUGAACGUCAGCCUCAGUUUCCAGUUCUCAGCAAGUGUAUGAGUGUGAGUGUGUGUGUAAGGGCUAGGGCUGGGGUCUUCCACGGAGCACAGAAGUAGAGAGCUUCUGAGGGUGGGGCCGCCCGUCGGUCACACCCUACACCCUGGAGCCCUGAGGACCUGUCACUCAGACCCACCACCAGCCUCAACACCAUGAGCAGCCAAAGCAGCAUCAGUCACUGACCAGAGGAGCCCAGACGUCACAGGAGUGCUCGCAAGGGCCAGUACCUUGAAGAAACUCUGGAAUAAAUACAUCUGGGCCUUUGAAAAUGGAGGCCACCCUCUGCACUGCUGACAGAAUGAUCAUCCCAGACACCUACGCACCAAAAGGAACUGCUGACCCUAUGAAGGCUUCCCAGCAGCAGGGACAAGACGACCUGGAAAUCUGCGUGCUCAUUAAGAUUACAUGGCUACAGGCUACAGCACCUUUGGAGAGUCCUUCUGUUAACACUCUCAGUAGCUUCUCCCCAUCUCCCUGUGCUCACAGGCAUCUUCCUGCAGACAGGUCUUCUUCAUAUUACAAAAGAAGCCAGAGCACAUCACCUUUCUGCAUGUCUGCCAUGUUCUUCAAACAGUGGGCUGGCGCCAGAUAUGUGUCACAUGGUCAAGAGCUUCCUACCACCCUUGGGCAGGGGACUGUGGGAGAUUCUCAGAGCCAUCUGCCUUGA
This 1310-nucleotide long non-coding RNA is filed under the name Lynx canadensis (Canada lynx). RNAcentral describes it as "lncRNA (ENSLCNG00005002117.1)". The record is from RNAcentral. Lineage: Eukaryota; Metazoa; Chordata; Mammalia; Carnivora; Felidae.